ACCUGGAGAGUCACGUCUUUGUGUGUGGAAGUCGCUGGUUGCUUUAUUUAUUGAUCAUAGACUUUAUUGCCCCGUGCAUCCACACUGCUGCUCUUCAUCACGGACACAUUUGUCCCGUAUUUUCCUCCACGACUUUGUUCCCCUCGUUUGUGGAGAUCUCCCUCCAUGAAUCAGAGGCCAUCCGGCGUCCUCAUAGUCCGCCAAUGACGGCUCGUACAAGCGCUCAUCAAGAGACACGCAAGGGACACGCA
Molecule: long non-coding RNA, 251 nt
Organism: Gasterosteus aculeatus aculeatus (three-spined stickleback)
Lineage: Eukaryota; Metazoa; Chordata; Actinopteri; Perciformes; Gasterosteidae
Source: Ensembl